GAUGAACGCUGGCGGCGUGCCUAAUACAUGCAAGUCGAGCGAACGGACGCGAAGCUUGCUUCUCUGAUGUUAGCGGCGGACGGGUGAGUAACACGUGGAUAACCUACCUAUAAGACUGGGAUAACUACGGGAAACCGGAGCUAAUACCGGAUAAUAUUUUGAACCGCAUGGUUCAAAAGUGAAAGACGGUCUUGCUGUCACUUAUAGAUGGAUCCGCGCUGCAUUAGCUAGUUGGUAAGGUAACGGCUUACCAAGGCAACGAUGCAUAGCCGACCUGACAGGGGGAACGGCCACACUGGAACUGAGAGACGGUCCAGAGUCCUACGGGAGGCAGCAGUAGGGAAUCUUCCGCAAUGGGGGAAAGCCUGACGGAGCAACGCCGCGUGAGUGAUGAAGGUCUUCGGAUCGUAAAACUCUGUUAUUAGGGAAGAACAUAUGUGUAAGUAACUGUGCACAUCUUGACGGUACCUAAUCAGAAAGCCACGGCUAACUACGUG
RNAcentral lists this ribosomal RNA (497 nucleotides) under uncultured bacterium. Its description in RNAcentral is "partial 16S ribosomal RNA". It matches the Rfam family "Bacterial small subunit ribosomal RNA", at positions 28 to 507 of the family's 1533-position model. The record is from RNAcentral.